Molecule: long non-coding RNA, 297 nt
Organism: Bufo gargarizans (Asiatic toad)
Lineage: Eukaryota; Metazoa; Chordata; Amphibia; Anura; Bufonidae
Exons: 2
Source: RefSeq, a predicted model, not a curated record
GUCAGUCCUCUCAGUGCUGUAGACGUUCCUCUCAUCCAUCCCUCACCUGACAAGUAGGACAGGGCCGUGUAGCAGGGAGGGGACAUUAUAAUGAGUAUCAUGAAGACGAUUUCACCCUUUGAAACGCAAAGUCUGCAAUCUGCGGCAAACCCUCCGGAUUUACACCUUGAAUUCCACAAAACAGAAGAUAUUGCUGCUUCGGAAUUCCCAGCAGAUCGAUCCCGUGUGGUCCUACCUUAAAGGGAAUGUGUGAUCAGAAAAUGAUCUAUUAUUUUUACAAUAAACUAUUUUAAAGAA